GGACAGAUGGCCGAGCGGUCUAAGGCGCUACGUUCAGGUAAAAUGGUUCUCUCUCCGGAGCUAAGAUACCACACCACUGGGCUUCGUAGUCUCGAAAGAGGCGUGGGUUCGAAUCCCACUCUGUUCA
Molecule: non-coding RNA, 127 nt
Organism: Coniochaeta sp. PMI_546
Lineage: Eukaryota; Fungi; Ascomycota; Sordariomycetes; Coniochaetales; Coniochaetaceae
Source: the annotation of a GenBank genome assembly